RNAcentral lists this ribosomal RNA (382 nucleotides) under uncultured eukaryote. RNAcentral describes it as "partial 18S ribosomal RNA". It matches the Rfam family "Eukaryotic small subunit ribosomal RNA", at positions 592 to 976 of the family's 1831-position model. The record is from RNAcentral.
UGUAAGCGUAUACCAAAGUUGUUGCAGUUAAAACGCUCGUAGUCGGAAUUUGGCAGUUCCGGAAGUGUGCACGUCGUGUGCGCACUUUGCGGGGACUGCUUUUGUGGUCUUGCGUAGGAUGAGGCACUUUCAUUAGUGAACGUCCUCACGCAACCACUCUUUACUAUGAGAAAAUCAGAGUGCUCAAAGCAGGCAUUUGCCGUGAAUGUAUUAGCAUGGAAUAAUAGAAUAGGACUCGGUUCUAUUUUGUUGGUUUGUUGGGACUGAGUAAUGAUUAAGAGGGACAGUUGGGGGCAUUUGUAUUCCGGCGCUAGAGGUGAAAUUCUUAGAUUGCCGGAAGACAAACUGCUGCGAAAGCGUCUGCCAAGGAUGUUUUCAUUGA